RNAcentral lists this ribosomal RNA (499 nucleotides) under uncultured Glomus. Its description in RNAcentral is "SSU rRNA". It matches the Rfam family "Eukaryotic small subunit ribosomal RNA", at positions 591 to 1092 of the family's 1831-position model. Lineage: Eukaryota; Fungi; Glomeromycota; Glomeromycetes; Glomerales; Glomeraceae. RNAcentral also lists the same sequence under 1 other name. The record is from RNAcentral.
CCAAUAGCGUAUAUUAAAGUUGUUGCAGUUAAAAAGCUCGUAGUUGAAUUUCGGAAUCAAUAUGUUGGUCGUGCCUUGGUACGUACUGGCAUUAUUGGUUUCUACCUUCUGAAGAACCUCGAUGUCAUUAAUUUGGUGUCUUGGGGAAUCAGGACUGUUACUUUGAAAAAAUUAGAGUGUUUAAAGCAAGCUCACGCUUGAAUACAUUAGCAUGGAAUAAUGAAAUAGGACGUUUGAUUCUAUUUUGUUGGUUUCUAGGAUCGACGUAAUGAUUAAUAGGGAUAGUUGGGGGCAUUAGUAUUCAAUUGUCAGAGGUGAAAUUCUUGGAUUUAUUGAAGACUAACUACUGCGAAAGCAUUUGCCAAGGAUGUUUUCAUUAAUCAAGAACGAAAGUUAGGGGAUCGAAGACGAUCAGAUACCGUCGUAGUCUUAACCAUAAACUAUGCCGACUAGGGAUCGGAUGAUGUUAAUUUUUUAAUGACUCAUUCGGCGCCUUACG